RNAcentral lists this non-coding RNA (28 nucleotides) under Homo sapiens (human). Lineage: Eukaryota; Metazoa; Chordata; Mammalia; Primates; Hominidae. The record is from RNAcentral.
UCCAUAGUACAGGAAGAAAAGAAGGAGC